GACCUGUUAGCUCAGUCGGGAGAGCGCCAUCUUGACAGGGUGGAGGUCGCUGGUUCGACCCCAGCACAGGUCA
This 73-nucleotide transfer RNA is filed under the name Bacillota bacterium. Its description in RNAcentral is "tRNA-Val". Lineage: Bacteria; Bacillati; Bacillota. The record is from RNAcentral. RNAcentral also lists the same sequence under 1 other name.